UGUCGCUGGUUGCUGUCGCUGGUC
This 24-nucleotide non-coding RNA is filed under the name Arabidopsis thaliana (thale cress). The record is from RNAcentral. Lineage: Eukaryota; Viridiplantae; Streptophyta; Magnoliopsida; Brassicales; Brassicaceae.